RNAcentral lists this non-coding RNA (47 nucleotides) under Schistosoma margrebowiei. The record is from RNAcentral. Lineage: Eukaryota; Metazoa; Platyhelminthes; Trematoda; Strigeidida; Schistosomatidae.
AUCCAGCUGAUGAGUCCCAAAUAGGACGAAACGCGCGUUUCCUAGGU